RNAcentral lists this transfer RNA (69 nucleotides) under Glossotermes oculatus. RNAcentral describes it as "tRNA-Trp". The record is from RNAcentral. Lineage: Eukaryota; Metazoa; Arthropoda; Insecta; Blattodea; Rhinotermitidae.
AAGAUCUUAAGUUAAUAAAAACUAAUAGCCUUCAAAGCUAUCAAUAUAACUGUUGCCUUUUAGAUCUUG